Molecule: ribosomal RNA, 497 nt
Filed under: uncultured bacterium
Lineage: Bacteria
Description: partial 16S ribosomal RNA
Rfam family: Bacterial small subunit ribosomal RNA
Source: RNAcentral
GAUGAACGCUGGCGGCGUGCCUAAUACAUGCAAGUCGAGCGAACAGACGAGGAGCUUGCUCCUCUGACGUUAGCGGCGGACGGGUGAGUAACACGUGGAUAACCUACCUAUAAGACUGGGAUAACUUCGGGAAACCGGAGCUAAUACCGGAUAAUAUAUUGAACCGCAUGGUUCAAUAGUGAAAGACGGUUUUGCUGUCACUUAUAGAUGGAUCCGCGCCGCAUUAGCUAGUUGGUAAGGUAACGGCUUACCAAGGCAACGAUGCGUAGCCGACCUGAGAGGGUGAUCGGCCACACUGGAACUGAGACACGGUCCAGACUCCUACGGGAGGCAGCAGUAGGGAAUCUUCCGCAAUGGGGGAAAGCCUGACGGAGCAACGCCGCGGGAGUGAUGAAGGUCUUCGGAUCGUAAAACGCUGUUAUUAGGGAAGAACAAAUGUGUAAGUAACUAUGCACGUCUUGACGGUACCUAAUCAGAAAGCCACGGCUAACUACGUG